UACAGAGGGUGCAAGCGUUAAUCGGAUUUACUGGGCGUAAAGCGUGUGUAGGUGGCCGCGUAAGUCGAUUGUGAAAUCCCUGGGCUUAACCUGGGAACUGCAGUCGAGACUGUCUAGCUAGAGUAUGGGAGAGGGAAGUGGAAUUUCAGGUGUAGCGGUGAAAUGCGUAGAUAUCUGAAGGAACAUCAGUGGCGAAAGCGACUUCCUGGACCAAUACUGACGCUCAUGUGCGAAAGCGUGGGGAGCAAACAGG
This 253-nucleotide ribosomal RNA is filed under the name uncultured bacterium. Its description in RNAcentral is "partial 16S ribosomal RNA". It matches the Rfam family "Bacterial small subunit ribosomal RNA", at positions 524 to 776 of the family's 1533-position model. The record is from RNAcentral.